UGCGAUUAUCCCAAAAAUAAACAAUGCGCAUCGUCACUGUCAGUCAGUGGAGCCGCUCGGUCCAGGUCGUACCUCUCGGCCAUGGUGGAUUCCAGUCUUCGCGCUUCCGAUGAACCCGCCGGACGUCGUUGACCGGCGACGCCUCCAGUGCUUCCUCGAGCGCGCCCCCGUCUAAGAAAGGUAUCGCAAGUACUGUCAAUAUUGCAAAUAGAAUUUGUCUAUGCAACAGUGGGUUUGGCAAGUCUGGAAGGAUGGACUUUGAUUUUGAAGGUUAAGGAUGCUAGUCUUGCAGUGCAAUUGAGAGGAAAGUGGCAGGAAAUUGGGGUUGCAGGCUUUGUCUGUGCUGGUUUUCAUCUUCCGUAAUGGAUACAGUUAUCAGCUUACAUAAUAUGGAAUUAUGAUAAUGGUCUAUAUCAUGGGAAUGGGACAAUAUCAAAACUAAUCCCUAAGUUGCAGAGAAGUUCUCUUCACAGUCAUGCUUAUUAUAAGAAGUUGAAUUUGAUGAGACUAAGACAGGUCCGAGGCCUGUUUCUUUCAUCUACUAGAAGAUAAAAUGACGAAAGGCAGGGAGGACACAUGGGGAGCAGAACCCAUCAAAAUGGAUGAGCAGGACAGUGCAGCAAGCGACAGCAUUUGUUACUUCUGGACCUCAUUCUGAUUGAUCAUUGACUUAUGCUAUAUAUGCAGCAUAUUGGGGCCUUAGCAACCGUCAGUGACUUAAAAGUCUUUUCUGAGCACAUUGAUUAUAUAUGUACAUCCUUGUGUACAUUUUUACUUUUGUACAUAGACAUAUAUUUUUACUUUUCCUUCUCUGUUGAUGAAAGAGUGCCAAAUGAAAGCAACACUCGUGUUUUGAAGAAAAGUUUACCUGGCAGCAGCAGGAGUUCGAGCAUUUCAGUCAGCUGUUUCACUGUGAUUGACAAUUUGUAAACUGGAAGUUAGCAGCUGGUGAAAGAGGGGUCCUUCUCCUGUUCAUAUAGAAUUGACUGAUGAACAUGUAAAAGAGUCGACGUAUUCCAUAAGGGUUAAAUCCUGAUCAUGUGGAAUAUGCUUAAUUUUUUAUUUUUCA
Molecule: long non-coding RNA, 1069 nt
Organism: Eucalyptus grandis
Lineage: Eukaryota; Viridiplantae; Streptophyta; Magnoliopsida; Myrtales; Myrtaceae
Exons: 4
Source: RefSeq, a predicted model, not a curated record